GGGGAAAUGAUGAGAUGAAUUCCCCCAUAUGAUCGACUAUGAUUCCAUCAAAUGCUUUUUUCUCUUCAGAGUUCAAUCCAGUCAAUUAUGAUCCCC
Molecule: non-coding RNA, 96 nt
Organism: Picea glauca (white spruce)
Lineage: Eukaryota; Viridiplantae; Streptophyta; Pinopsida; Pinales; Pinaceae
Source: Rfam